GUUAUCAUCAAACUGUGGUGUUUCAACGAGGACGAUCUUUAUCAACAAUGAGGUAAUGUGCCUGGAAAUUGUUUUCAAAAUUUCAAUGCUUUGGAGCUAACUCAUGUUAUAAUUUUGCAGGGUUGAAUUAGAUCUUCACAGACAAAUACAUCUUUAUGUAAUAAAAAUGCUGAUAUGAUGAUCGGGUAUAAUAUUACAAAAAAUAUGAAAAUUCAAUGGAUUUGUUUUCCUUAUCAUUAUAGUAAUCAGAAUGUUUUGUCUUGCAUUAUAUUAUUGGUUCAACAUCUUUAUUUGUAUGAUGUAGGAGGAGUUGCAGAAGAUAGAUUUCAAAUGGCUUGAAUAAGAAGAGAUGCAGAUCACUAUUCUAGACAGGUUCUUGAUCCUAACCAGAUCACACUUUUUGUUGUUACCUAUAUAAAUGUAUGUCCUGAGCUUCCGUUCUUGUCAUUUUUAGGUUCAUAUACAUCAUCACACUGAUUGAUUCAUUCACUAGGUUACGAUGUCGAGGUUACAUACGUACAUUACUUAUUCUUGAGCAGAAUAUUAUUCUUUUUUGUAGCAGAGGAGAAUAGUGCUCACUGUAAAUUAGUUGGGUAUAUACCAACAACCAAAAAGCUCAAAACAUUUUGUGAGAAAUAGAAUAAAUCAAGCCUUGCUCGAAUUAGACAAGAAACAUAUUGAUCAAUCAUUCCUUAAAAUAGUUUGACUUUGUCAUAAGGACUAUAAAAGAAGCCGCAUUAUGACAUGCCUAAGCUACAACAAAUAAUAUAUAUUCUUAUUUGGUCUAAAAUACAGCAACUAAUAUAAGACGUUCUAGAUUCAGUGAUCUAAAAUGUCUUAUAUUAGUUACAGAGGGAGUAUUAUCCUUUGUGCUGAUUAAUUUAUAUGUACUAACUUAUAUUUAUGUGUUUUUUAGAGUGGACGGUCAGCUGUGAUAGUUCAAACUGUUGUGAGAUGUAUUUUGAGAUCAUCCUCCUAACAAGAGACAAAUUAGUUGAUUAUUUUGCUAGAUAGUGUUGCUGUCUCCUUAAAACCGAGGCUUCUUUCUCAUCGGAUAUAGAACUGUGAAUUUGUAAAUUAUAUUUAUUCUAUCUUUUCAAACAGAAUGAAAAGCCAUCUUCUAUUUUCUUCCAUCCAACUUUUCUUCAGCUUGAAAUGUGCAAAACAUUUGUCACAGGGAUAUUGUACUUUGAUCAAUGGAUGUGAUAAAAAAACACCAUGAAAUAGACAUGGAAGGGGGGGAUCUGAAUGCACGAAACAAAUAAUGCAAAGCCUCGUGAAGUGGCAGAAAACUAUAUGUCUUAUGUACCUUUUAGUUUCCCUUCAAGUGGGAUGCCAAGCCUCAUGAAGUGGUAGAAAAUUGAGCAAUAUUAAGCUCAGUUUGUUGGCAUUGAUCCUAAUCAUUUCAUAUUCGGCUCAAAUUUUGCUACGAAAAACUUUCUCAAUGCAUGCUUACAGAUGCUAAUUGCAUACAAGUAUGCACAAGAUAUGUAGAGGAGUUUCUAUCACUAAUUUUUAUAGUAUUGAGUUGAUUUAAUGGUAACUAACACUGGGUGGUAGGAUGUAUUUUUCCUAUACACACACACAUGAGUUUCUGGCUAAUUGUCUUUGAGGGGCUAAAUUGGAUUCCUUGAUGGAAAAUAAACAAUCAACUGAAAGUUUCUAAUUUAUCUUUCUCCCUUUCUUGGCUGUAGUAGACUUUUCUCUAAGUGAAUGUUCCUUAUAAUUCUAGACCAAGUCUUUCUUCGAUCUGAAUGACAUGGAAAAUGUUGUUUCAUUUCACAUAUUCAUUUUAUUAUAUUGUUAAAAAAAAAUCUAUGCAAGCCAGUAAAACUUGUUUUUUGUUUAUUAAGCCAAACUUCCAUCUUGUACUGGGAAGCCAUAACGUCAUAGUAGAAGACAAAUGUGUGUGAGCGUGUGAAAAUGACUGCAUAGGACAGGCUGAGGUGCUCAAGCCGCCUCCUCUUGCGAUGUCCACAUAGGAUAGGAACAGUGUCCUGAGCGGCUGAGCUGUGAUUGGUUAGGAGAUAGUGAAAUAUAACCUAGUGUGAAUGUAGCUUUUCAGUUGUUCAUGUGUCCCAUUUAUGAUCAGGGAUGCUUGAGCCAUGUGGGAUAAUAAAAUUGGACACUCCAGAGGUUAUGGCUUUGUCUUAUUCUGCAAUCAGUAGGCAUGCACAACUCAGACCAUUUCUCUUUUGCAUUUUGCAGUAGUUUUACUAUUUUGAUGACAUGAAUCAAAUACCAACUUUACUUUCUACCUAAUAUUCUGGUGUUUGAGUGAUACUGAUAGCUUUUGCAAUGCCUAAAUUUAGCUCGGUGAAUUGUACUCUUAGUGUGUUACCAAUUUGUGGAUGUAUAGCUAUGAAUAGUACUGAUACAUACAAUUUCGCCUCUUCUCUGUAGACUUUGAAGGAUGAAGAAUAAAGAACACUCUAUGAUCAGGUAACAAUUUAAUCCCUCUGAUUACACUUGUCUAUGCUCCUUUGACUGCCAAUGGCUAUUUCUUUUUGUAUGUUCAGGAGAUACAAAGAAUUAAUUGUUUGAAACUUAAGAUAAUUAAGUUUGCAAGAGUCAUCGACCUGUCUAAAAAACUUCAUUGAAUUCUGCACAUAACAAAUUAUUAGGAAGAUUUCUCAAAUCAUGUAAAUGAUUCUAGAUCAGCCAUCUAACUCCAAUACCAUGCACCAAUGCUUGGAACUCAUGCAAGUGUCAUACUCGCAUUACCAAAUCAGGCUACGAAGACAAGUCUUCGUGCGCACAUGUAUGACCUUACCGCUCUCGUCGUUGUUAUUAUUUUCUAAAGAAAAAACUACUGUCAUUAGGCUCUAAAUUUGCAAAGUAACUAGACAACAAAUACAUAUUGUAUCAGAGUUUUCCAAAGAUUUUUGUGGUCUCUGCAAUGUUGUUUGCAGGGAUUGCAAAAGAGUGGCAUUUAAAAGGCAGCUGGCAUUUGAUGAAUUGCUGAAUGGUGGUGGUUGCACACCAUGGGGGACAGUGUUCCAAGAGAGGUCUCAAAGAUGGUUAGAGAUUAGGUACUGACAUAAAAUCUAUCAAUCCUAUCUUCAUGUACAUGUGUGUGUUAGGUACAUCUAAUUAAUCUGUUCUUCUGAUUUAGGGAGGUCAUCUGAAUCUGAGACGAUGUAAAAUUUAUUUUCCUAUUCUUGGAAACUCUUGCGUUGGAGAAUCAUGACGUUCUUCUCAUUGUUACAGGCAGUCCAACGUCAAACAUGAUUGUGCUGAUGUCUGGGUUUCGGCUUGGUGGUGAGGUGCUUGAGGUCACGGCUCUGCGUCAGGAACCUCCUCUUGAGCGGGCUUGUACUUCAUGGUGGUGAGGUCUAUCUUGAUGGUAGACCAGUUGGUUGAUUAAAUGCCAGUAGGAGCAGCUCAGUGAACCACUGAUGUAGUCUCACUGUGCAUCAGUAUUGUUGACCUCAACUUGUCUAUUCAUAUGAUCCAUGUAUCGUAUUUAGUUUCUCUCUAAGACUUGGUAUGCCUGUGUUCUGGUGAUCCGAGGAACUCUGCCUCUCUUUUGGAGAUCAUCCACCUUUUGGAGACUGUUAAACCUUGAUUUGAAAAUCUGGAUGUGUCUAUGACGAGUCAUCCACCUUGUAAGAUUGUCAUCUAUCUGUUACUCCCUCCGUACAAAGUUGAGUCAUCUAUUUUGGAACGGAGGG
Molecule: long non-coding RNA, 3674 nt
Filed under: Triticum aestivum (bread wheat)
Lineage: Eukaryota; Viridiplantae; Streptophyta; Magnoliopsida; Poales; Poaceae
Description: long non-coding RNA (TAES_LNC013461)
Source: RNAcentral